RNAcentral lists this ribosomal RNA (446 nucleotides) under uncultured bacterium. Its description in RNAcentral is "partial 16S ribosomal RNA". It matches the Rfam family "Bacterial small subunit ribosomal RNA", at positions 29 to 523 of the family's 1533-position model. The record is from RNAcentral.
AACGAAUGCUGGCGGCAGGCCUAACACAUGCAAGUCGAGCGCCCCGCAAGGGGAGCGGCGCACGGGUGAGUAACGCGUGGGAAUAUGCCCUUAGGUACGGAAUAGCCUCGGGAAACUGGGAGUAAUACCGUAUAUGACGAGAGUUGAAAGAUUUAUCGCCUAAGGAUUAGCCCGCGUUAGAUUAGAUAGUUGGUGGGGUAAUGGCCUACCAAGUCUACGAUCUAUAGCUGGUUUGAGAGGAUGAUCAGCCACACUGGGACUGAGACACGGCCCAGACUCCUACGGGAGGCAGCAGUGGGGAAUAUUGCACAAUGGACGCAAGUCUGAUGCAGCCAUGCCACGUGAGUGAUGAAGGCCUUCGGGUUGUAAAGCUCUUUUGGCGGGGACGAUAAUGACGGUACCCGCAGAAUAAGCCCCGGCUAACUUCGUGCCAGCCGCCGCCGUAA